This 651-nucleotide ribosomal RNA is filed under the name uncultured bacterium. Its description in RNAcentral is "bacterial SSU rRNA". It matches the Rfam family "Bacterial small subunit ribosomal RNA", at positions 61 to 691 of the family's 1533-position model. The record is from RNAcentral.
GUCGAACGCGAAAGGGCUUCGGCCCUGAGUAGAGUGGCGAACGGGUGAGUAACACGUGGGUGACCUGCCCUCGAGUGGGGGAUAACAUCCCGAAAGGGGUGCUAAUACCGCAUGACAUCCUGUCUUUGAACAGAUGGACAUUAAAGCCGGGGAUCGCAAGACCUGGCGCUCGAGGAGGGGCUCGCGUCCGAUUAGCUAGUUGGUGGGGUAAUGGCCUACCAAGGCGACGAUCGGUAGCCGGCCCGAGAGGGCGGACGGCCACACUGGGACUGAGACACGGCCCAGACUCCUACGGGAGGCAGCAGUGGGGAAUUGUUCGCAAUGGGCGCAAGCCUGACGACGCAACGCCGCGUGGAGGAUGAAGAUCUUCGGGUCGUAAACUCCUUUCGAUCGGGACGAAUGGCUGGUGGUCUAACAUAUCAUCAGAGUGACGGUACCGAGAGAAGAAGCCCCGGCUAACUCCGUGCCAGCAGCCGCGGUAAUACGGGGGGGGCAAGCGUUGUUCGGAAUUACUGGGCGUAAAGGGCGCGUAGGCGGCCUGCUAAGUCGGAUGUGAAAUCCCUCGGCUCAACCGAGGAACUGCAUCCGAUACUGGCCGGGCUUGAAUCCGGGAGAGGGAUGUGGAAUUCCAGGUGUAGCGGUGAAAUGCGU